GAUCAUGCAGGGCAAGGACCCGAUGGUCGUGCUGAAGACCGAAUACAGCCGCGUCGGCCGUGGUGCCGCCACCGUGCGCAUGAAGAUG
RNAcentral lists this transfer RNA (88 nucleotides) under Kryptoperidinium foliaceum. The record is from RNAcentral. Lineage: Eukaryota; Dinophyceae; Peridiniales; Kryptoperidiniaceae.